AAAGUGGAGCUUAACUCCAUCAUGGCAGUGGAAACUGUUGGGCUUGAGUGUGGUAGGGGCAGAGGGAAUUCCCGGUGUAGCGGUGAAAUGCGUAGACAUCGGGAAGAACACCAGUGGCGAAGGCGCUCUGCUGGGCCAUCACUGACGCUCAUGGACGAAAGCCAGGGGAGCGAAAGGGAUUAGAUACCCCUGUAGUCCUGGCCGUAAACGAUGAACACUAGGUGUCGGGGGAAUCGACCCCCUCGGUGUCGUAGCCAACGCGUUAAGUGUUCCGCCUGGGGAGUACGCACGCAAGUGUGAAACUCAAAGGAAUUGACGGGGGCCCGCACAAGCGGUGGAGUAUGUGGUUUAAUUCGAUGCAACGCGAAGAACCUUACCAGGGUUUGACAUCCUGCGAAUCUCUUGGAAACAGGAGAGUGCCUUCGGGAACGCAGUGACAGGUGGUGCAUGGCUGUCGUCAGCUCGUGUUGUGAGAUGUUGGGUUAAGUCCCGCAACGAGCGCAACCCACGUCUUUAGUUGCCAGCAUUCAGUUGGGCACUCUAGAGAGACUGCCGGUGAUAAACCGGAGGAAGGUGUGGAUGACGUCAAGUCAUCAUGCCCCUUACAUCCUGGGCUACACACGUACUACAAUGCUACGGACAAAGGGCUGCAAGUUCGCGAGGACAAGCAAAUCCCAUAAACCGUGGCUCAGUUCAGAUCGUAGGCUGCAACCCGCCUACGUGAAGGCGGAAUCGCUAGUAAUCGCAGGUCAGCAUACUGCGGUGAAUACGUUCCCGGGCCUUGUAGA
This 788-nucleotide ribosomal RNA is filed under the name uncultured bacterium. RNAcentral's name for it is "bacterial SSU rRNA". It matches the Rfam family "Bacterial small subunit ribosomal RNA", at positions 599 to 1387 of the family's 1533-position model. The record is from RNAcentral.